RNAcentral lists this transfer RNA (69 nucleotides) under Phrynosoma platyrhinos (Desert horned lizard). RNAcentral describes it as "tRNA-OTHER". The record is from RNAcentral. Lineage: Eukaryota; Metazoa; Chordata; Lepidosauria; Squamata; Phrynosomatidae.
GACUUGGUGUAGUGGUUUGAGUGUUGGACUAUGACUCUGAAGACCAGGAUUCAAUUCCCAGCUCGGCCA